UAUAAAGUAAGUAAUAAUAGUACGUCGUGCAAAAGAGUUAAACUUUUGUUUUGUUAGGUUAAUUAUCAUACACAAUUCUAUGACCAUAUAAGAUUGACAUUUUGUGCUGACAGUUUUCUAUUGUCGGAAUACGUGUGUUGACCUGGUAUGUCUUAUGUUUAAUUUGUCUGUUGUCUCAUUAUCUCUUUGACGUAUAUCACAGGGUCAUUUUUAUAGAAGAAUUGAAAACGGUCAAUAGUGAAGGUAAGAAUUUUGAAAGGGCCUUCAGUUUUCCCCGAUGUCCGUUGUGUUUGAAACGAGCCAUUCACCUGGGAAGGCACAUGUUUUUGACUUAACUAAAAAAACUUUUCUUUUUCCGAACACAUACAGGAACCAGAAAAUAAAUUUUGAAAGUCGUAUAUUAUUUUUCCCUUCUUUUAAAUGAAAACCAGAAUAGCGAUUUUCUUAUUUUUGUUAUUUAACUUUUAUCUUUGGAUGGCAGGCAUGAUAAUAUAGAAUUAGCAGGGAUGCAGC
RNAcentral lists this long non-coding RNA (513 nucleotides) under Mytilus galloprovincialis (Mediterranean mussel). The record is from RNAcentral. Lineage: Eukaryota; Metazoa; Mollusca; Bivalvia; Mytilida; Mytilidae.